GCUUUCAUCAGUGUCUCCAGUGUACACUGCAGGAGCUUUGAACAAGUUACUGUGAAAGCUACUCAGAAGAAAAGAUGCUUCCGUGAGAGGCCACUAAUUUUGAACUUGGAGAAAUCACAGCAUUUGUGGGUCCAAAUUUUCUGUGGUGUAAACAAAGGCCCAGAGGAAAAACAUGUCUGAGACAAGAUGCAGGUCCAGGGACCAACAGAGCUGAUAAUGAGCUCUGUCCUAGCUGUAAGAAGAAACCAACCUGAAGCCAUUUUGAAUAAUAUUGCCAUUUUGAAUAGAGAUUAAAUAAAGCUCCCCCCAAGACCUCCCUGGGUAACUGACACCCUGCUUGGCAAGUUGAGACAAGAAUGAUAAGGAAGUCGUCGCCCCUACCUGGUUGAAUAAACCAGCUAGUGAGAAAAGGAUAAAUAUACUACAAAGACAUGUUCCUAAGGAAGUCCCUCAUCCCUAAAUCCUGAUUGGUGGAAACACGUAAAUGUAACUUGGCAUAGUUGUUCAUGGUUUUCAAGCUUAAAAGCUCUAUAUCAUUCUGGCCUGUGGUUGCAGUUCAGCCUCAAGUUUGUUCUAUGGCCCUGAUUGAUUACAAUUAACAAUUGUCAUCUGCAUUGACCAGAUAUUUGAGUUGUAUUGGAUCUAAGUGAACUACAUAACACAGCCAUAGCUAGGAAGUAUGUAGUGUGUGUUUCCCCUUCCUACUUUAUAUGCAUGUGGAAUAUAAAGUCUCUCAAAUGGUCUGUGAUUGAAUUCAAAGAGAACACGUUCUCCAGGCAGCUACUGUUAACCUGAUGGAGUUUGCACAGAAGAUAGAACUUGUUUUCCUUCCUAUGGCACAACGUGUUUGGUCGAUGAAGAUGUCUUCCCCCCCUCACUUCUAAGUAUGUUCAAUUAUGCCUGUUGGCUCAGUUUCCAUACUGCCCCAGUCUUCUGGCUUCGAGUUGGUUCUAAUGCUAGAACACUCUUAAUGCCUGCCUUAUCCCUUGUGUUCUAAAAUGGCUUCAGGAAACUAGGAUGUGACUUACUGAGAGGUGAGUGUAGAGGGUCAUGCUCUGCUGUGUUUCCUUGGGCAACUUUCU
Molecule: long non-coding RNA, 1082 nt
Organism: Mus musculus (house mouse)
Lineage: Eukaryota; Metazoa; Chordata; Mammalia; Rodentia; Muridae
Product: predicted gene, 41045
Exons: 3
Source: RefSeq, a predicted model, not a curated record